GCGAGUGUAGUUCAGUGGCUAGAAUACGAGUUUGCCAUACUUGAGACGUGAGUUCGAUUCUCAUCGCUCGCA
RNAcentral lists this transfer RNA (72 nucleotides) under Acidobacteriota bacterium. RNAcentral describes it as "Acidobacteria bacterium (activated sludge metagenome) tRNA-Gly". It matches the Rfam family "tRNA". Rfam says of the family: Transfer RNA (tRNA) molecules are approximately 80 nucleotides in length. Their secondary structure includes four short double-helical elements and three loops (D, anti-codon, and T loops). Further hydrogen bonds mediate the characteristic L-shaped molecular structure. tRNAs have two regions of fundamental functional importance: the anti-codon, which is responsible for specific mRNA codon recognition, and the 3' end, to which the tRNAs corresponding amino acid is attached (by aminoacyl-tRNA synthetases). tRNAs cope with the degeneracy of the genetic code in two manners: having more than one tRNA (with a specific anti-codon) for a particular amino acid; and 'wobble' base-pairing, i.e. permitting non-standard base-pairing at the 3rd anti-codon position. Lineage: Bacteria; Pseudomonadati; Acidobacteriota. The record is from RNAcentral. RNAcentral also lists the same sequence under 1 other name.